GACGAACGCUGGCGGCGUGCUUAACACAUGCAAGUCGAACGGUGAAGGGACUGGUUUUGCCGGACCUGGACGUGUGGCGAACGGGCGAGUAACUCGGGAGUAACCUGCCCCCUUCUUCUGGAUAACCGCAUGAAAGUGUGGCUAAUACGGGAUAUUUUGGGUCUGUCGCUUGGCGGGCCUGGGAAAGAUUGCGUCUUUUUUGGAGUUCUUGCCGGGGGAUGGGUCCGCGGCGGAUCAGCGAGGUGGUAGGGGAAAAGCCUACCAAGGCGAGGACGCAUAGCUGGUCUGAGAGGAUGAUCAGCCACACUGGGACUGAGACACGGCCCAGACUCCUACGGGAGGGAGCAGUGGGGAAUAUUGGACAAUGGGCGAAAGCCUGAUCCAGCAAUGCCGCGUGAGUGAUGAAGGCCUUAGGGUUGUAAAGCUCUUUUACCCGGGAUGAUAAUGACAGUACCGGGAGAAGAAGCGCCGGCUAAAUCCGUG
This 483-nucleotide ribosomal RNA is filed under the name uncultured bacterium. RNAcentral's name for it is "partial 16S ribosomal RNA". It matches the Rfam family "Bacterial small subunit ribosomal RNA", at positions 28 to 507 of the family's 1533-position model. The record is from RNAcentral.